This 2259-nucleotide long non-coding RNA is filed under the name Malus domestica (apple). RNAcentral describes it as "long non-coding RNA (MDOM_LNC004117)". The record is from RNAcentral. Lineage: Eukaryota; Viridiplantae; Streptophyta; Magnoliopsida; Rosales; Rosaceae.
CCACCACCAAGAUUGAGGCGCAGAUCAGGAGGAGGAGUGAGAAGCUGUGCAGACUAGCCAUUUCUGCCAAAGUAAGAAGCUUUUCCACUCGCUUUUUCUUCUUCGUUUGUUGAUUUUCUUCAAAGCUGAAUGCUUUCUUUGAUUUUUGCUUGAGCUGCUUUAGUUGUUGUUUUCUCUUGGUCUCUUCUUUAAUUUAAUUUCUUGCCCUUUGUUUCCUUUUGUUUGUUGAUUAUCUCCACCAGUAGGGAGAGAGGGAGGAGAGAGAGAGAGAGAGAGAGAGAGAGAGGGAGAGAGGGAGGGAGAGCGAGGACAAGGGAAAUUAGACAAGAGCUAAAUCUCGGUUAAGGACUUAUAAGAGGCCCGUUGUCAACAAAUGACAUUGGAAUUGGGCAUUAUUUACAAUGGUGCCCCUCUGAGGGUUUAUUUCUUUCUUUCAAACUGAAGCUAGCGAUAUUUUAUUUUAAACUUGCUUAAAAUACUGAGAAAAUUAUAGAAAUGGUUUGUUAACUUUAAUCUAAUUGAAGUGAUAAUCUUUUAACUAAAAAAAUAUGUGAUUAUUGGUCAUUUAACUCACCAAAACGUGCAGUUAUAGUCAUUUUCGCCAACUUUGUUAGAAUUUUCGUCAAAAAAGGUCUUAUUAGAUGGACUAUGCUCCAAUUGGAUUAAAAUUGAGGGACCAUAACUCCAAUUAGUUAAAGUUGAUAGACCAUUUCUUCAAUUGUGUUAAAGUUAAGGGACCAUUGUUACAAUUUUUUUCAUUUGGUUUUUCAUAUUUACUCCUUGAUUCAGUGUCACUCAUUUUGUUGGAAGUUCUAAUGAAGUUGACGAAAAUGACUAUAGUUGCAUGCUUUGAUGAGUUAAGGGACCACUAGUCACGCAUUUUUAGUUGAAUGACCAUUACUCCAAUUAGAUUAAAAUUGAGGAACUAUUGCUAUAAUUUUAUCUAACUACGAGAUGGAAUUAGAACUUCAAGGGUGCGUUUGUUGCACCGGACUAUCUCGGACUGGAUUAGCUUUAGGGACUAAGCUGGACUGGCUUAGACUAGACUAAGCUGGACUGAUUUAGUGAAGCGUUUGGUGCAGUGUCGGACUAAAAAGAAGGAUAAUAACAAACUACAAUAUUUUAUAUUUUUUAAUUCAUAUCUAAUAAUAUUAUAUUAAUUAAUUCUAUCUUUUUUUCUUCUAAUAAUACUCUCCCUCUCUCUGGAAGCCUCCAUCAUUUUCUUCCUCGUUCUCUCCGUCCCACACUCUCCGUCCCUUUCCUUUUUUUUCUGAUUAAUUGCCAAAACUGAUUAAUUGCCAAAAAAAUUCUGCAAAAUGAAGAAUCGAGCUUCGUUUUUCUGGUUUUUGUUCAUGGGAUCGUCGGGCUUGUCCACCAGAGGAGGAGAAAAAAGAAGAGGAAGACCCGGUGGAGGACAAAUCGAAGAGGAAGACCGGGACAAAUCGAAGAGGAAAGACCCGGUGGACAAAACGAGAAAAACGAAGCUCGAUUCUUCAUUUUGCAGAAUUCGGAGGUUGUGGACUCCGAAUCUGGGGUUGGAUUCUGUCUUCUCUGCUGCUGUUUUUUUGUUUGGAUUCUGUCUUCUUUGUUAAAUUUGUCUCUGUUUGUGGGCUGUCGAAGGUUGUGGACUCUGAAUCUGGGGUUGGAUGUUUUGGAUUUUUUAAUGUGCGAGGCAGUGAGGAAGAAGGAAAUGAGAGCGACGAUUUACGAGGACACGGCGGUUGUCCUGGGAUGGUCCGGUGAGGUUGUCGAGCAGGGUGAGCAGUCGAGCAAAGCGCUGAGGAGUCGAGCAGAGCAACGAUCUUAGCAAUCCGGUGGUAUUUGGGGGGUCUCGCUAAGACUACCUAGCGAGCCCCGUAGUCCACACGAGUCCCCUUUAGUCCCACUUAACUUAGUCCCAACACCUAUCAAACAUGGGACUGUAGUCCAGUCCAGUCCAGUCCCUCCUAAGGAGGUGAAACAAACGCCCCCCAAGAGUACAAAGAGAGCUUAUUCGUUAUUCAAUAUGGUUAUGUUCAUGUACGUUUUUUUUUUUUUUUUUUAUCUGAAUCCCUUUUUUUUUCUUUUUUAGGAUUGAUUACUUUUCUUUUUACAAUGAUAACGUGAGUGAGUUAAAUUGCUAAUUGUAAGAUUCAAACUCACACCAAAUUACAUAAAUCAAAUGGCAAACCUAGUAAUUAGAAGCAAAAUCAUUUGCACAUUCAUAACCCAACCUACUAUUAAGAAACACAAAUGGUUGACUGGUUGUCUCUUUUAAAA